Molecule: ribosomal RNA, 460 nt
Filed under: uncultured bacterium
Lineage: Bacteria
Description: partial 16S ribosomal RNA
Rfam family: Bacterial small subunit ribosomal RNA
Source: RNAcentral
CCUACGGGAGGCAGCAGUGAGGAAUAUUGGUCAAUGGACGAGAGUCUGAACCAGCCAAGUAGCGUGAAGGAUGACUGCCCUAUGGGUUGUAAACUUCUUUUAUAUGGGAAUAAAACGUUCCACGUGUGGGAUUUUGUAUGUACCAUAUGAAUAAGGAUCGGCUAACUCCGUGCCAGCAGCCGCGGUAAUACGGAGGAUCCGAGCGUUAUCCGGAUUUAUUGGGUUUAAAGGGAGCUUAGGUGGAUUGUUAAGUCAGUUGUGAAAGUUUGGGGCUCAACCGUAAAAUUGCAGGUGAAACUGGCAGUCUUGAGUACAGUAGAGGUGGGCGGAAUUCGUGGUGGAGCGGUGAAAUGCUUAGAUAUCACGAAGAACUCCGAUUGCGAAGGCAGUUCACUGGACUGCAACUGACACUGAGGCUCGAAAGUGUGGGUAUCAAACAGGAUUAGAUACCCCAGUAGUC